UUUCCGUAGGGGAACCUGCGGAGGGAUCAUUACUGAGUGAGGGCUUCGGCCCGACCUCCAACCCUUUGUGAACCAAACUUGUUGCUUCGGGGGCGACCCUGCCGCUUCGGCGGUGCGGCGCCCCCGGAGGCCAUUAAACACUGCAUCUCUUGCGUCGGAGUCUUAAAGAAAUUUAAACAAAACUUUCAACAACGGAUCUCUUGGUUCUGGCAUCGAUGAAGAACGCAGC
RNAcentral lists this unclassified non-coding RNA (229 nucleotides) under uncultured fungus. RNAcentral's name for it is "sequence contains ITS1, 5.8S rRNA gene". The stretch from base 181 to 229 matches the Rfam family "5.8S ribosomal RNA", at positions 1 to 49 of the family's 154-position model. Lineage: Eukaryota; Fungi. The record is from RNAcentral.